AGACGUCUACAUUAGAUACCCCUGUAGUCCCAGCCGUAAACUAUGCGCGUUAGGUGUAUCGGUGACCACGAGUCACCGAGGUGCCGAAGGGAAACCGUGAAACGUGCCGCCUGGGAAGUACGGUCGCAAGGCUGAAACUUAAAGGAAUUGCGGGGAGCACCACAACGGGUGGAGCCUGCGGUUUAAUUGGACUCAACGCCGGGAAGCUCACCGGAUAAGACAGCGGAAUGAUUGCCGGGCUGAAGACUCUGCAUGACUAGCUG
RNAcentral lists this ribosomal RNA (263 nucleotides) under uncultured archaeon. RNAcentral describes it as "partial 16S ribosomal RNA". It matches the Rfam family "Archaeal small subunit ribosomal RNA", at positions 714 to 982 of the family's 1478-position model. The record is from RNAcentral.